Molecule: ribosomal RNA, 253 nt
Filed under: uncultured bacterium
Lineage: Bacteria
Description: partial 16S ribosomal RNA
Rfam family: Bacterial small subunit ribosomal RNA
Source: RNAcentral
GACGAACCGAGCGAACGUUGUUCGGAAUCACUGGGCUUAAAGGGCGCGUAGGCGGGCUGUCAAGUUUGGGGUGAAAUCCCGCGGCUCAACCGUGGAACUGCCUCAAAUACUGACGGUCUCGAGGGGGGUAGGGGCGAGCGGAACUGUGAGUGGAGCGGUGAAAUGCGUCGAUAUUCACAGGAACUCCGGUGGCGAAGGCGGCUCGCUGGACCUCUUCUGACGCUGAGGCGCGAAAGCCAGGGGAGCAAACGGG